RNAcentral lists this ribosomal RNA (1248 nucleotides) under Mungbean phyllody phytoplasma. RNAcentral describes it as "bacterial SSU rRNA". The record is from RNAcentral. Lineage: Bacteria; Bacillati; Mycoplasmatota; Mollicutes; Acholeplasmatales; Acholeplasmataceae.
GUGGCUAAGACUGGAUAGGAAGAUAAAAGGCAUCUUUUAUCUUUUAAAAGACCUAGUAAUAGGUAUGCUUUAGGAGGGGCUUGCGCCAUAUUAGUUAGUUGGUAGGGUAAUGGCCUACCAAGACGAUGAUGUGUAGCUGGACUGAGAGGUUGAACAGCCACAUUGGGACUGAGACACGGCCCAAACUCCUACGGGAGGCAGCAGUAGGGAAUUUUCGGCAAUGGAGGAAACUCUGACCGAGCAACGCCGCGUGAAUGACGAAGUACUUCGGUAUGUAAAGUUCUUUUAUCAAGGAAGAAAAGCAAAUGGCGAACCAUUUGUUUGCCGGUACUUGAUGAAUAAGCCCCGGCUAAUUAUGUGCCAGCAGCCGCGGUAAGACAUAAGGGGCAAGUGUUAUCCGGAAUUAUUGGGCGUAAAGGGUGCGUAGGCGGUCUAGUAAGUCAGUGGUGUAAUGGCAACGCUUAACGUUGUCCGGCUAUUGAAACUGCUAAACUUGAGUUAGAUAGAGGCGAGUGGAAUUCCAUGUGUAGCGGUAAAAUGCGUAAAUAUAUGGAGGAACACCAGAGGCGUAGGCGGCUCGCUGGGUCUUAACUGACGCUGAGGCACGAAAGCGUGGGGAGCAAACAGGAUUAGAUACCCUGGUAGUCCACGCCGUAAACGAUGAGUACUAUGUGUCGGGUUAAACCGGUACUGAAGUUAACACAUUAAGUACUCCGCCUGAGUAGUACGUACGCAAGUAUGAAACUUAAAGGAAUUGACGGGACUCCGCACAAGCGGUGGAUCAUGUUGUUUAAUUCGAAGAUACCCGAAAMACCUUACCAGGUCUUGACAUGUUUUUGCAAAAUGAUAGUAAUAUCGUGGAGGUUACCAGAAACACAGGUGGUGCAUGGUUGUCGUCAGCUCGUGUCGUGAGAUGUUAGGUUAAGUCCUAAAACGAGCGAAACCCUUAUCGUUAGUUGCCAGCACGUUAUGGUGGGGACUUUAACGAGACUGCCAAUGAUAAAUUGGAGGAAGGUGAGGAUCACGUCAAAUCAGCAUGCCCCUUAUGACCUGGGCUACAAACGUGAUACAAUGGCUGUUACAAAGGGUAGCUGAAACGCAAGUUCUUGGCCAAUCCCCAAAAACAGUCCCAGUCCGGAUUGAAGUCUGCAACUCGACUUCAUGAAGUUGGAAUCGCUAGUAAUCGCGAAUCAGCAUGUCGCGGUGAAUACGUUCUCGGGGUUUGUACACACCGCCCGUCAAACCACG